CACACGGGGAGCGAAUGAGCAAACGUUCGGAGUGGGCAACGGCUUCUUCCACAAAUUGAUUUUGGAAUAACUUCACGUUAACUCUGCUAUGUGACAAAUACUCAGAAACGCAAAGCAAAAUUUGAAAUUAGACACAAAAGGCACCAUCGUAGACCUUCUUGUACUCAGGAAGAGGGUCUCGUCUUGGCAUCUGUGUUGGUGUAACCGUCACCAUUGCCAGCCAGUUCAAGAAACGCUCAGGAAGGGGGAGGUUGCCUGGCUCACAGGUGGAAGAGGGGUUCCCAUGGCAUGAGUUAGAGACUGUCUGCUGCUGGUGUGCAUAGCUCCUCUUUCCCUCUCCUGGGCCCCUCUCACCUCUCUUCAAAGGCCUCUGUGACCAGCUCUGGGCAGGAUGUCAUGCCCCAGAUGCUCCAAGAGGUGCUGAAUGGAGUCUCGUGACGUCAGGCUGUCGAGUGUUGGUGGGCAAAUGCAUCCAUGAUACAUCCAGCCUGAGCUCCAGACUAAAGACUAAAGAGGAAAGAGACAACCAAACCUCUGAUCACCAUCGCAUCUGUCAAGAUGGAAGAAAACGGUAGAAAUGU
Molecule: long non-coding RNA, 581 nt
Organism: Jaculus jaculus (lesser Egyptian jerboa)
Lineage: Eukaryota; Metazoa; Chordata; Mammalia; Rodentia; Dipodidae
Exons: 3
Source: RefSeq, a predicted model, not a curated record